AGGGGGCGGGGCCAGAGCGCGGGAGGCGGAGGAGACGGUUGAGCGUCUCUGCCGCGCGCGGGAUCCUUCCGCCAAACGGGCCGAACAAAUAGGCCCCCUGGCCGGAGCGUGAGUUGCAAAGUUGCUCGCGGGAGUUGGGGCUAGGGGAGGAAGUGUUGCUGUGCGCUGUGAGAAUGAGAUUGUAUCCCUCGGUGGAUCCUGCUCGCAGAGGCCAGAGGUUUACAGACCUGGCCACGUGAGAGCCCACCGAGGCAUUUUGGAGGUCCUGGAAUUUAUCCUUUAAGAUAAGUGUGGGGUGAGGUGGAGCUGGAUGAUAAUAAAGAGAAGUAGGUUGACGUAUUUUUAAUUCUGAUACGAUGGAUGUUGGGGGGAGAGAAAAACUUAUUUGGGGGCUAAGUUAAAAACAGAAAAGAAAAGCAACCCCUCACUACCACCCACACAUAUAUGCCAAAAUGUUAGCUAGUUCCUGUGAGUGGUGGGAAUAUGGGUGCUUGAAUAUCACUUUUGUGUGCGCGCGCUUCUGGAACCCCUGGGGGGUGGGGGGAACCCGUCCUCUAAAAUAAAAUGUCAUUCCUAUCUUUGGAUUAUCUUUCUUGAACUCGCAAAGUUAUGUAAUCAUCGGAACGGUUACCCUGAUUGCAGCCUGAGCCAAGUUGAACGAGAGCGUGCAGCAGAUAAAAGGAGAAUUUGCACAUUUCGCGCUUCGGGGCCCCAGGGCGGAAGAGGAAAGCGACUUUACGGAGGCAGGCUGUUCAGGCGGGUCCCGGGCUCUGCAGACUACCAGAGGAACUUAGGUGCGUCCCUCUCCGGCUCCUCAGCCUCUCCAAAUGCGUCCCUUUCCAGGGGGCCCCCAAACUGUGCCACCCCCCGGGGGCUGCGCGUCGCCUUCGGCUGGGUUUGGAAGUGCCGCCCACGCUGAGCAGACACAUCUGCUUCCUUUCCUGACCUUUCCGUUUAUCUGUUUCUUCCGGCAUUGCUUUACAAAGCCCCUUCCUUCCGCGGAGAGAUUCAUUUUGUUUCUCAAGACACGCUGGAUGCACGGAUUCCCUUUCCCGGAUGCCAUCGAGGUGACUGCCACCUGGGCAUCCAUUCACCCUCGACUGCUGAGGUUCAGGGCUCCCCUGACUCCUCAGCUGCACACUCCACUGUCCAGUCACCAACUCGCUCUCCCGUGCUAAGGCUGUGCCCACCAGAAGUCACACGAAGUCAGCCCAAGGCACUGAGCCCAGUUGAUGACUCUUGGGAUUGGUGCCCAGCGCUGCUGUGAACAUCUGCCUGUGGAGGUCACGAUGGCUCUUGCCCAACUCCAGGAGACCUUGGGCUCCUCCCGGGCAGGGUGUAUCAUUGCUAUGGCAUUUGGAGCAGGAGUAUGAAAGACCGAGAUUCACUACGUGGACAAAUAGUUAUGGAACACCUACUGUGCCAGACAUUGUUCUGGGCGGUGAAGCAGGGGUUGAGUAAGUCAGACAAGGCCUUUCUUUCAUGGAGAGUCAUUGGUAAGCCAGACAGACAAUAAACAAAGAUGCAAAUAAAAAUUUCAGCUUCUGAUAAGUGUCAGGGAAAAAAAGAAAAGAAUACUGAACUCAUUUUCUUACUGUGUGCCAAAAAUUAUCUCAUUGCAUCUUCAAGACAACCCCAGGGAGUAUGUACUAUUCCUAGCACCCCAUUUUACAGAUGAAGAAAUCAAGGCACAGAGAGGCUAAUUGCUGAAGGCCACACAGCUAGGAAAUAAGAGAGCAAGACUGGAACUCAGGACAGCCUGGAAGCACAGCCCUGUUUUGUAUUCAGUAAAUCUAUAUAGCAAAGACCCAGAGGCUGUCACAAGCCCUGACACACAUUAGACAUAGCAUCAUUGUGGAACCAGAUGGGAUGACUGGUUGAAACAUGCUUGCGCCCACAGUAAAUGUGCCAUGGUUUUCCCUAUGCAAAAUGGCAGGUGUGUUGACCUCUAUCCACAUCCUGAGGACAGGAGGACUUCAGCCUCUCUCCACCUGCUGUCCUCUCCAGGGUCCAGUUUUACCAGCACACACCUAAGUGAAUCAGCUGGCCCCAGAGUGACAGAACUCACCAGGGAGCCCAAGCAGCUGGCAGAGGAAGGAACCCGUUCCCUUCCUUUUUCUGCUGUGAUCCACAGUCUCUGCUUCCUUAGGGACCAGCAAGCAAAGCAGUUGGCCACAAAGUGUCCAACUUUGUCCUUUCCCUUCUCUGGGCCUCGAUUUGCCUGUCUUUAACAUGACAGUGGAUUAAAAGGUCCAUUUCAAACUGUCUUCUUGGAUCCACAGGGCAUUCUUAGGGGGCUGCUAAAGACAGCCUGGAGCUUACAAAAUAAGAUUAAGGGAGAGGGGUGAAGCUAACCUACUGAAAACCAACAAUAUCUCUGUAGACACUUGGUCUUGGCAGGGUAUCCCAGUGUCUAAAGGAAUGAGGCCAAUAAUAUGAAAUAAUUCAGCCAGCUAGGUGGGGACUGGGGUGAACUAGGGAGUCACAUCCCACUGGGGUGGUGGGGGGAGCCCUGUGGUCUUAGCUCCAGCCCACUGGGGCCUCAUGGGAAACCUGGACCCAGCGUGGCCAGAUCCUCUUGCAGAAAAACUUGGACAUAUGGAUUUUUGUGGGAAAUGUUCCAGUUUUAAAAUUUGGUCAUGAACUCAAACUCUUCAAAAACAGAGUGUGAGGCGGACAGUGGAUCUGUAGGCUACCUUUGGCCCCAGGCCAAUAGUUUGGGACUCUGUUCUGGAAGGUGGGGGUUGAACUCCCCCACCUCUUCCCACUGUAAUGAGCAUUGGGAUUGUUGUUAAAUGAUUGGAAGAAGUUGAUGAGGGUUGCCAGCCUGUCUAUAUCUCCCUCGAUAUUCUGGAGGUUUUGUACAAAGUGGGGAACCCUGGGGAGAAAUGUGGGUGCAAUCUCUCUGACAAAGUGCACAUCUUCUGGGCAGACACUGGCUUAAAAAAAAAGGAAGCAUCUUAAAAAGAUUUUUAACUGAUACAUAAAAACAUAAAAAUUAUGCACAUUAAUGGAGUAGCAAGUGAUGUUUGGAUAUGUGUAUAUGCUGUAUAGUGUUCAAAUCAUGCUAAACAUCUAUUUCCUAAACACUUAUGCUUUCUUUUUUUUUUUCUUUUGACAUCGGGGAUCAAACCCAGGGGCAUUCUACCGCUGAGCUGCACCCCAUCCUUUUUUCUUUUUUAUUUUGAGAAAGGGUCUUGCUAAGUUGCCCAGACUUGCCUCAAACUCGCAAUCCUCCUGCCUCAGCCUCCCAAGUAGCUGGGAUUACGGAUGUGCACCACUGCACCCAGCUAAAAACAAACUUUUUACUUCAGAAUAAUUUUAUAUUUACUGAGAAGUUGUGAAGAUGGUUUAGGGAGUUCCCAUGUACCUUUCACUCAAUAUCCCCUGGAUGUAAGCAUUUUAUACAAUCAUGUACAAUCAGUUAUUUUUCCUUUCUUUUUUGUGGUACUGGGGAUUGAACCCAGGGCCUUCCUUNUGUAUUCAGUAAAUCUAUAUAGCAAAGACCCAGAGGCUGUCACAAGCCCUGACACACAUUAGACAUAGCAUCAUUGUGGAACCAGAUGGGAUGACUGGUUGAAACGUGCUUGCGCCCACAGUAAAUGUGCCAUGGUUUUCCCUAUGCAAAAUGGCAGGUGUGUUGACCUCUAUCCACAUCCUGAGGACAGGAGGACUUCAGCCUCUCUCCACCUGCUGUCCUCUCCAGGGUCCAGUUUUACCAGCACACACCUAAGUGAAUCAGCUGGCCCCAGAGUGACAGAACUCACCAGGGAGCCCAAGCAGCUGGCAGAGGAAGGAACCCGUUCCCUUCCUUUUUCUGCUGUGAUCCACAGUCUCUGCUUCCUUAGGGACCAGCAAGCAAAGCAGUUGGCCACAAAGUGUCCAACUUUGUCCUUUCCCUUCUCUGGGCCUCGAUUUGCCUGUCUUUAACAUGACAGUGGAUUAAAAGGUCCAUUUCAAACUGUCUUCUUGGAUCCACAGGGCAUUCUUAGGGGGCUGCUAAAGACAGCCUGGAGCUUACAAAAUAAGAUUAAGGGAGAGGGGUGAAGCUAACCUACUGAAAACCAACAAUAUCUCUGUAGACACUUGGUCUUGGCAGGGUAUCCCAGUGUCUAAAGGAAUGAGGCCAAUAAUAUGAAAUAAUUCAGCCAGCUAGGUGGGGACUGGGGUGAACUAGGGAGUCACAUCCCACUGGGGUGGUGGGGGGAGCCCUGUGGUCUUAGCUCCAGCCCACUGGGGCCUCAUGGGAAACCUGGACCCAGCGUGGCCAGAUCCUCUUGCAGAAAAACUUGGACAUAUGGAUUUUUGUGGGAAAUGUUCCAGUUUUAAAAUUUGGUCAUGAACUCAAACUCUUCAAAAACAGAGUGUGAGGCGGACAGUGGAUCUGUAGGCUACCUUUGGCCCCAGGCCAAUAGUUUGGGACUCUGUUCUGGAAGGUGGGGGUUGAACUCCCCCACCUCUUCCCACUGUAAUGAGCAUUGGGAUUGUUGUUAAAUGAUUGGAAGAAGUUGAUGAGGGUUGCCAGCCUGUCUAUAUCUCCCUCGAUAUUCUGGAGGUUUUGUACAAAGUGGGGAACCCUGGGGAGAAAUGUGGGUGCAAUCUCUCUGACAAAGUGCACAUCUUCUGGGCAGACACUGGCUUAAAAAAAAAGGA
Molecule: long non-coding RNA, 4653 nt
Filed under: Marmota monax (woodchuck)
Lineage: Eukaryota; Metazoa; Chordata; Mammalia; Rodentia; Sciuridae
Source: RNAcentral